This 434-nucleotide long non-coding RNA is filed under the name Rattus norvegicus (Norway rat). RNAcentral's name for it is "long non-coding RNA NONRATT022216". Lineage: Eukaryota; Metazoa; Chordata; Mammalia; Rodentia; Muridae. The record is from RNAcentral.
GCUACUCUACGACUUCUCCCCAUCCCAGCCGUCUAUGUGCUGCGCCUUAUGUUCCACAGCUAGAAAUGGCUGCCCUACCUUCUGGGCAGCAGUGCGGAGCUCGGCCAGGGCAGUGCCUAGGUUCUUUGCACACUGACUCAGCUGCAUCGCUGAAGCCUGGUCCUGAAUUGUUGGCACUGAGGCCUUUGCUGCUGCCACCAUCUUCCCACCUGGCUGUUGGAGAACACAUAUGCAAAUGAGUCCCAGCUGGAACCACUUGGCUUCUUCUCUACCGCAUACUCACAGCAUCCUGGCCCAGAGGGGGCAGAGCAUCAAAGUCAUCAAGAGCAGCUUGGGCGGCCUGCACAGCCUGCAUGCUGGAGUUAAUGGUUCCAGUGAGCGCCUGCUGGGCUGAAGUCUAAAAGACAGAGAAGAGGAAGAGACAGAAUGGGGCA